UUUUUCUUAACAGCGUAUGAUUAAAAUUUAUACAGGCAAGUUCUGUAAUUCACUUUCGAGUGAAUUUGAGUCAAAUUCGCGUUGAAUUCAAAUUGG
This is a long non-coding RNA of Rhagoletis zephyria (snowberry fruit fly), 96 nucleotides long. RefSeq lists it as uncharacterized. NCBI's taxonomy places the organism in Eukaryota, Metazoa, Arthropoda, Insecta, Diptera, Tephritidae. The record is from RefSeq and is a predicted model, not a curated record.